RNAcentral lists this ribosomal RNA (465 nucleotides) under uncultured bacterium. Its description in RNAcentral is "partial 16S ribosomal RNA". It matches the Rfam family "Bacterial small subunit ribosomal RNA", at positions 338 to 795 of the family's 1533-position model. The record is from RNAcentral.
CCUACGGGGUGCUGCAGUGGGGAAUCUUGCGCAAUGCUCGUAAGAGUGACGCAGCGACGCCGCGUGAAUGACGAAGGCCUUCGGGUCGUAAAGUUCUUUCGACAGGGAAGAAAAUGCCUAUAAGUAACUGUGUAUGUAUUGACGGUACCUGUAUAAGCAGCCCCGGCUAACUCCGUGCCAGCAGCCGCGGUAAUACGGAGGGGGCGAGCGUUGUUCGGAGGGACUGGGCGUAAAGAGCACGUAGGCGGUGUUGUAAGUCAUUAGUCAAAGACUAGAGCUCAACUUUAGUAAGGCUAGUGAUACUAUAAUACUAGAGUAUCAGAGAGGAUUGCAGAAUUCCUGGUGUAGCGGUGAAAUGCGUAGAUAUCAGGAGGAAUACCGUUAGCGAAGGCGGCAAUCUGGCUGGAAACUGACGCUGAGGUGCGAAAGCGUGGGUAGCAAACAGGAUUAGAUACCCCGGUAGUC